This 2786-nucleotide ribosomal RNA is filed under the name Escherichia coli. RNAcentral's name for it is "bacterial LSU rRNA". It matches the Rfam family "Bacterial large subunit ribosomal RNA". The record is from RNAcentral. Lineage: Bacteria; Pseudomonadati; Pseudomonadota; Gammaproteobacteria; Enterobacterales; Enterobacteriaceae.
AGCGUACACGGUGGAUGCCCUGGCAGUCAGAGGCGAUGAAGGACGUGCUAAUCUGCGAUAAGCGUCGGUAAGGUGAUAUGAACCGUUAUAACCGGCGAUUUCCGAAUGGGGAAACCCAGUGUGAUUCGUCACACUAUCAUUAACUGAAUCCAUAGGUUAAUGAGGCGAACCGGGGGAACUGAAACAUCUAAGUACCCCGAGGAAAAGAAAUCAACCGAGAUUCCCCCAGUAGCGGCGAGCGAACGGGGAGCAGCCCAGAGCCUGAAUCAGUGUGUGUGUUAGUGGAAGCGUCUGGAAAGGCGCGCGAUACAGGGUGACAGCCCCGUACACAAAAAUGCACAUGCUGUGAGCUCGAUGAGUAGGGCGGGACACGUGGUAUCCUGUCUGAAUAUGGGGGGACCAUCCUCCAAGGCUAAAUACUCCUGACUGACCGAUAGUGAACCAGUACCGUGAGGGAAAGGCGAAAAGAACCCCGGCGAGGGGAGUGAAAAAGAACCUGAAACCGUGUACGUACAAGCAGUGGGAGCACGCUUAGGCGUGUGACUGCGUACCUUUUGUAUAAUGGGUCAGCGACUUAUAUUCUGUAGCAAGGUUAACCGAAUAGGGGAGCCGAAGGGAAACCGAGUCUUAACUGGGCGUUAAGUUGCAGGGUAUAGACCCGAAACCCGGUGAUCUAGCCAUGGGCAGGUUGAAGGUUGGGUAACACUAACUGGAGGACCGAACCGACUAAUGUUGAAAAAUUAGCGGAUGACUUGUGGCUGGGGGUGAAAGGCCAAUCAAACCGGGAGAUAGCUGGUUCUCCCCGAAAGCUAUUUAGGUAGCGCCUCGUGAAUUCAUCUCCGGGGGUAGAGCACUGUUUCGGCAAGGGGGUCAUCCCGACUUACCAACCCGAUGCAAACUGCGAAUACCGGAGAAUGUUAUCACGGGAGACACACGGCGGGUGCUAACGUCCGUCGUGAAGAGGGAAACAACCCAGACCGCCAGCUAAGGUCCCAAAGUCAUGGUUAAGUGGGAAACGAUGUGGGAAGGCCCAGACAGCCAGGAUGUUGGCUUAGAAGCAGCCAUCAUUUAAAGAAAGCGUAAUAGCUCACUGGUCGAGUCGGCCUGCGCGGAAGAUGUAACGGGGCUAAACCAUGCACCGAAGCUGCGGCAGCGACACUAUGUGUUGUUGGGUAGGGGAGCGUUCUGUAAGCCUGCGAAGGUGUGCUGUGAGGCAUGCUGGAGGUAUCAGAAGUGCGAAUGCUGACAUAAGUAACGAUAAAGCGGGUGAAAAGCCCGCUCGCCGGAAGACCAAGGGUUCCUGUCCAACGUUAAUCGGGGCAGGGUGAGUCGACCCCUAAGGCGAGGCCGAAAGGCGUAGUCGAUGGGAAACAGGUUAAUAUUCCUGUACUUGGUGUUACUGCGAAGGGGGGACGGAGAAGGCUAUGUUGGCCGGGCGACGGUUGUCCCGGUUUAAGCGUGUAGGCUGGUUUUCCAGGCAAAUCCGGAAAAUCAAGGCUGAGGCGUGAUGACGAGGCACUACGGUGCUGAAGCAACAAAUGCCCUGCUUCCAGGAAAAGCCUCUAAGCAUCAGGUAACAUCAAAUCGUACCCCAAACCGACACAGGUGGUCAGGUAGAGAAUACCAAGGCGCUUGAGAGAACUCGGGUGAAGGAACUAGGCAAAAUGGUGCCGUAACUUCGGGAGAAGGCACGCUGAUAUGUAGGUGAAGCGACUUGCUCGUGGAGCUGAAAUCAGUCGAAGAUACCAGCUGGCUGCAACUGUUUAUUAAAAACACAGCACUGUGCAAACACGAAAGUGGACGUAUACGGUGUGACGCCUGCCCGGUGCCGGAAGGUUAAUUGAUGGGGUUAGCGCAAGCGAAGCUCUUGAUCGAAGCCCCGGUAAACGGCGGCCGUAACUAUAACGGUCCUAAGGUAGCGAAAUUCCUUGUCGGGUAAGUUCCGACCUGCACGAAUGGCGUAAUGAUGGCCAGGCUGUCUCCACCCGAGACUCAGUGAAAUUGAACUCGCUGUGAAGAUGCAGUGUACCCGCGGCAAGACGGAAAGACCCCGUGAACCUUUACUAUAGCUUGACACUGAACAUUGAGCCUUGAUGUGUAGGAUAGGUGGGAGGCUUUGAAGUGUGGACGCCAGUCUGCAUGGAGCCGACCUUGAAAUACCACCCUUUAAUGUUUGAUGUUCUAACGUGGACCCGUAAUCCGGGUUGCGGACAGUGUCUGGUGGGUAGUUUGACUGGGGCGGUCUCCUCCUAAAGAGUAACGGAGGAGCACGAAGGUUGGCUAAUCCUGGUCGGACAUCAGGAGGUUAGUGCAAUGGCAUAAGCCAGCUUGACUGCGAGCGUGACGGCGCGAGCAGGUGCGAAAGCAGGUCAUAGUGAUCCGGUGGUUCUGAAUGGAAGGGCCAUCGCUCAACGGAUAAAAGGUACUCCGGGGAUAACAGGCUGAUACCGCCCAAGAGUUCAUAUCGACGGCGGUGUUUGGCACCUCGAUGUCGGCUCAUCACAUCCUGGGGCUGAAGUAGGUCCCAAGGGUAUGGCUGUUCGCCAUUUAAAGUGGUACGCGAGCUGGGUUUAGAACGUCGUGAGACAGUUCGGUCCCUAUCUGCCGUGGGCGCUGGAGAACUGAGGGGGGCUGCUCCUAGUACGAGAGGACCGGAGUGGACGCAUCACUGGUGUUCGGGUUGUCAUGCCAAUGGCACUGCCCGGUAGCUAAAUGCGGAAGAGAUAAGUGCUGAAAGCAUCUAAGCACGAAACUUGCCCCGAGAUGAGUUCUCCCUGACUCCUUGA